GACCUCAAAUCAGGUAAAGUACCCGCUGAACUUAAGCAUAUCAAUAAGCGGAGGA
Molecule: ribosomal RNA, 55 nt
Filed under: uncultured Glomus
Lineage: Eukaryota; Fungi; Glomeromycota; Glomeromycetes; Glomerales; Glomeraceae
Description: partial 28S ribosomal RNA
Source: RNAcentral